Long non-coding RNA from Alexandromys fortis (reed vole), 5212 nucleotides. RefSeq lists it as uncharacterized. The record is from RefSeq and is a predicted model, not a curated record. The transcript has 3 exons. NCBI's taxonomy places the organism in Eukaryota, Metazoa, Chordata, Mammalia, Rodentia, Cricetidae.
AUCUAGACAGGUGCGAGGGAUUGGCCGAGCUCGACGCCCUCCAUCUAGCUCCUCUAGCUUUUCAGGGCCCUAGACCGCCAGGGAAUAACCCCAGAGGAGUCCUAGGUGGGUCCCGAGCAGGAUGAGGGCUGGGGUCCCCGCCGCCCCCAAGGAUGGGGGAGGGGCAGCAGGAUUGACAGUCCGUAAUUGGGUAACUGGAGGCGGCUUCUCCGGCCCGGCGGCCCCGCCACCGCGACGCCGGGCCCCUGACGUCACCCGAUUCGCCAGGAAAUGAACUUUUUAAUAAUCCAAGGAGGGAGGAAAGCCCUCGGUCCCCUCGGCUCGGGGGGCGCCCAGCCAGGCUCAGCUCUGCAGGCGCGCCCCCAUCACCCCCUCCCAGGUCCUCUGCGGACAGCUCUGUGGGGGCGCGCGCACGGCAGGGCCUCCUCCGGUCUCUGCGGCUGGCAUCCGUCUGACUGUCCGAGGCUUUGGAACAGAUUAUCGCAGCCCUUUCAGAGCGCGCACAACAAAUGCGCCCGCCAUCGAAUGCAGCAUUUACCACCGCAGAUCCGCGCGCCGAUGGGCAGGCAGAUAGCGUCCGCGGGGGGCUCGUCGGGAGGCGAGUGUGCGCCCCGGCUCUGCCUGGUGUGUUUGGAGGAACACGUGGGUAUGCCAGCGAGUGGACCCUGAGCGAGCACGGAUGUGAGUGUACCAGCAAGUGUGCUUCGACAAAGUGCACGUGUGCGAGUCCCUGAGCACACGCGUGGGUUCUGUGAUGUUCCGGACAAGGGCGAAGCGGCGGAAUUCUGACAACUGAUUCGGAUUAUCACAACAUUAGGAACUGGCUGAGGACCAGAAGGGUAAGCCCAAUGGGCCAGGCUGCACAGCUUUCUUUGCAUCACUGAACCUAGGAUACUAGGUGUGAGUUAGGAGUUACUCAGCAGCCACCCCGGCCCCAGAGCCUGACCCCACCCACCUACUCCAUCUGAAUGGCAGCUCCAGUGUCCCUCACUUCUCUGCACCUGCUGUGAAGGUGAACUCAUCCCAUCUUGCUCUGCUAGAGCAGGUCCUGAGUGGUGGUGGUGGCAGCGGCAGCGGUGUGGUGGGGUGGUAGCCGUGACGGUGGUGGUGGCAGCGGUGUGGUGGCGGUGGUAGCUGCGGUGGUGGCGGUGGCGGCGGCAGCGGCAGUGGCACCUGAACCACAGGAGACCACUCUCUCCAUUUAGGUUAACUAGGCACUGCAUUCCUGGCUUUGGUGAUCCAGCUGCUGCUGUGGAACUCAGCAGGCUUCAUCCUGGGGACUGGGAGUGUUGGGAGGGGCGUGGCCAGGAGUGCUGGGAGUUACAGGUACCAGCAGUUCCCUCAGAGCUAUCCUGGAAGAGGAGCUGAGUGGGGACCCUUCCACACCAUCCACACCCCACCCCCACCUCGCACACACCCUCUCAGCUGGGCUCCCGCUCCGAGCCUCUGGUUCUGCCUCCACAGCCCUCCCUCCAGGAUCACGGACUGUUGGUGUGGUGUGCGAGCUUGCCUUUAGAAAGCAUUUUGUGAGCCUGGCUUGUCAAGUUGGCAGACAAAGUCUCUGGCAAGUGCCAUGCCCAAUGUCUGCCAGCACCCUGGAGUGGGAGAUUACAUGUAAAGAAUCUCAUGUCUUGUUUUUUGUGAAACACUUCAAGACUGGCCACUUGCACCUGAGUUCUUGCAUGGGGAUGGAGUUCUGCAGAAUCCCCUCUGAGCACCUGGUGCCCACCCAUUCCCAUUCCCUGGGUCAGGGCCUGUUUCCCACGAGCCACUGACUACUAGUGCUUGUGGUAAUUCUGCCUUUCCUAUCAGCACUGGGGCCUUCUGUCUUGUUUCUCCCUGUAGGACCACUAAACCACUUAGCCAUGUCUUAAUCAGUGAAUUAACACAAGCAACAUUAAGAGGAGGCACACGGCCACCCUAUAAAGGUCUCUGGCUCUGCCUAUUGACCUUCACCCAACCUACCAAAACAGUGAAGCAGCCAGACCUGACUCAGCAUGCAGAUCAAUAAAUCAUCAGGUUAUGGUAAAUAUUGGGAGGGGAUAUGUUUUCUAAUAUCUAGACCUUCCUCCAAAUAGUGGGAGCCGUGGAACAAAAGAAAAGUGGAUGCAGCCACCCUUGUAGCAAGCAGUAGAGGUUUGGUAAGGCAGCGGGCACAGCGAUAGCCAGGAGGAGGUCUGACGACGAGGUACGAGAACUUGGGGACACAGCGUAUAAAGAGGUUGACUCAGCCAACAAGGGGGCUCAGUGUAUAAAGGUUUGCCACCAAGCCUGUCCUGAAUUCAAUCCUUAGAACCCACGUAGUGGAAGGAGAGAGCCAACUUCUGCAAGUUGUCUUCUGGCCUUCCCCCCUCCCCCCAGUAAAUAAGUGCAAAAAAGGUGUCACCAAAUCAACAGAAACCACAGUGGGAAAAUGCACAAGGGUAUAGAGAGACAACUCACUAAAAUUAAUAUGAUGUCUCUUAAAUAAAUCAAAACAUGCAAUUUCCUUAAUCUUUUUCCAUUAAUUCAGCUCCAAAUGUAUUAACUACGUUGUCUUUUUGUGUUCUCUCUCUCUCUCUCUCUCUCUCUCUCUCUCUCUCUCUCUCUCUCUCUCUCUGUUGUUGUCCUUUUGUGGGGUGUGCUGGGGUGGAACUCAGAACCCUGUGAUGACCUCUGAGCCAAGCCAGACUCAGAACUGGGACCAUUUUUGAAAGACAAAUUGCAGCUCUCUGAGUCAGGAUUCACGAGCAGUGGUGACACACGCCUUAAUCCCAGCACUCAGGAGGCAGAGGCAGGCGGAGCUCUGAUUUCUAGGACAGCCUGGUCUACAGAGUGAGUUUCAGGACAGCCAGGGCUAUGUAGAGAGAUGCCUCAAAAAAAACAAAAAUGAAUAAAUAAGAACUCUCUGGUCUUACUGGCCCUGGUUGUGACGGGUCCAGGGUCCAUUUGUAUUGCAGCAGUUGCUCAGCCAUUUUUGGGAACAGAAUGGACCCGAGGUGGCAGCGUGGGGGCAGAGAAGCGCCUGGAGGAUGGUGAGGUGAGGCCAGGGCCCCACCCUGCAGUCUGUCCAUCCAGACCUGACCUCUCCUUUCUGCACAGCUGCUCCCCUGCUCCCUGCCGCUGUCUAUUCCUGCCUGGAUUACCAUAGCAACAUUCUCUCUGGACGGCACAGUCAGGAACCUCUCCUGCCCUUGCUAGGAGAAGCCCUCCAGCCGCCCGAGCUGUGCUCCUGGCUGGCCUACAUGGUGCAGCCCUCUCCCUGGGUGCUGAGUGUUACCUUUCCAGUCCGCUUCUUGCUCAGUUGGGAGAGGAGGGCAUAGUGGGGAGCAGGAGGGUCCUAGGACUUGCAGCUUUCGGGUGCCACUGGACAGAACGGUGCCUGGGAUUCCCCGGGGCACAGGCAGCCUGAGGCUGGUGAUCAGCCAGAGACGAGACCUGGAAUGAAAAUAAACAAAAAUCCAAGGCUCAGUGCAGGGCCAGAGGUCAGCCGUGGGCCAGGUUAGGCCAACUGUGGAAUCUGGGAUGCAGGACUGGGUGUCACGGGCACACAGGGCUUCCAUCUCGGACCCCACAUCCACUCGGUGCAGAGCAUUGAUAUCCCCCCAAACUCCCAGCCUGGCCAAUUGGAACUUCCUGUAGUAAGAUGCAUUGACUGACGAUAGGGAUGUAAUUCAGGCCUGGGAGAAUCACACCGCAACGAAACUCAUCUAUUCUCUCAGGAUCUGUCCUCUUGGUCAGACAGAGCUUUAGAGUGGUGGUACCUUCUUUGUACCACACAGAAGGCUUCCUGAGAGCAGAGCCACACGGGCACAGAGCUGAGAGACAGAGAGAGACUCGUACUAUGUUACCCAUUUUGUUUGUUUUGUUUCUUGAGACAGAGUUUUUCUGUGUAGCCCUGGCUGUCCUGGAACUCACUCUGCAGACCAGGCUGGCCUCAAACUCAGAGAUCCACCUGCCUCUGCCUCCUGAGUGCUGGGAUUAAAAGUGUGCACCACGGUGCCUAAACCCCAGAGCCUGAGCCCAUUCGCAGCCUGGCCUUUGCCGUUCCCUAAGACAAUUUGGCACCUCUGUGCUUUCCCCUUUCCUUGGUCCGAGGUGAGCUUCUACUUCUUACAACUGAACAUGCCCUGACCCCACCGCUGUGGUUGGUCAGAACCAGCUACAGUCUCUGCCUCUGAGAGGGGCAGCCCUCCUCCGACUGACUGCUGGGAGGCUCUUGCCAGUGACCUGGGGUGGUGGCAAUGGUGCCGUGAAGGGUCCUGGCCUGAAUUAUCUGCUCUACUUCUGAGUUCUUAGAAGUCUUGGGAAUCCUGAGUGGACUCAAAAAAGCUCAGGCAUGCAAGGCCACUGUGUGGUGAGUGUGGAAGCCCACAGCAGUCAGGAGAGGUCUCUAGUGGGUCUUAGUUGUGCCAGCCAUGGGCCAUUGGCUGGACACAGAUACUCCAGGUCAGGUUAGUGACCCCUGUGAGUCCGUUUCUUCAUCUAUCAAGAUUUCUUUCUUUCUUCAUUCAUUUUCCAUCUCCACCGUGAAGAGUAUAAAGAGAUGGUUGGUGUGUCUGUGUUGCGGGAGGUCCUUCCACUCCUCCAGCCAAUAGCCGCUGAGAUACCAGCUCAUUGGGACGUGGUCUCUCUCUCCCUUUAAAAAAGCGGCCACUUCCCUUCUCCCUCUCUCUUACUUCCUGCUCCGCUUCGGCGGUGACUAGACUCCCUUCCUGAUUGCGCAGAGGGCUGUUGUCUGGGACAGUGAUCUGUAAGUUUUUUCCCCUUUAAAUAAAUAACCAUUCUAUUAAUCAUAAUUCCAAACUGGUGUGGGAUUGUUUUUGACUUACGCCUUCGCCUUCAUGUCUGAGGUCUAACCUGCAAAACAAAAAUCACUUUUUAAAAAAUGGAAAAGAGGUUGAUAAGAUGUCUCAGUGAAUAAAGCUACCUACCAGCAAGUGUGACAGCGCGAGUUUGAUUCCCAGGACCCAGUGGAGGAAGAAGGAGCCUCUGCUCUCAAGUUGUCCUCUGACCUCUGUGUGUGUGUGUUGUGUACAAGAACAUACCACGCACACACACACACUACACAUGUACAUGCACGCACACAUGCACAUACAGGCAUUAUAAAUGUGUGUGGAACAUACCACACAUACAACACACACACACUACACACGUACAGGCACGCAUACACAUACAGGCAUUAUAAUUGUUUGUGGGCAGAGUAGAUGGUAGUAGGCAAGUGAGGGCCGGA